This 292-nucleotide ribosomal RNA is filed under the name uncultured bacterium. RNAcentral's name for it is "partial 16S ribosomal RNA". It matches the Rfam family "Bacterial small subunit ribosomal RNA", at positions 331 to 642 of the family's 1533-position model. The record is from RNAcentral.
UUGGACCUACGGGAGGCAGCAGUGGGGAAUAUUGCACAAUGGGGGAAACCCUGAUGCAGCAACGCCGCGUGAGUGAAGAAGUAUUUCGGUAUGUAAAGCUCUAUCAGCAGGGAAGAAGAUGACGGUACCUGAGUAAGAAGCCCCGGCUAACUACGUGCCAGCAGCCGCGGUAAUACGUAGGGGGCAAGCGUUAUCCGGAUUUACUGGGUGUAAAGGGAGCGCAGACGGUGAGACAAGUCUGAAGUGAAAGCCCGGUGCUCAACCCCGGGACUGCUUUGGAAACUGCCUGACC